Molecule: long non-coding RNA, 575 nt
Filed under: Hordeum vulgare
Lineage: Eukaryota; Viridiplantae; Streptophyta; Magnoliopsida; Poales; Poaceae
Description: long non-coding RNA (HVUL_LNC004633)
Source: RNAcentral
UAUUUUAAUUGUCGUGUCAUCAUCGCAUCAUGCGCAUCAUCAGCAUUGCAUCGGUGUCUCCGUUGCCGCCAGUUUUCAAAACUUGCAUUCGUUAGUAGUUGCCGGUUCUCGUCGUCGUCCGUUCCGAGCCCGACCGCACUCGCACGCGCGCGCGGCACCGUCGAAACCCUGUUUUAAAAGCGCGUUUAAAACUCUCUCUGAUCGAGGUGAAACUUGGCACGCGGUCGCGAUUAGAUGUAGCUAGGCCGCCUGUCGAAUUUCGUCGCGAUCGGAGACCGACUGGUACCCGAACGGUCGACCGUAGCGGCACCGUCGUCGGUUAUUCGUCGGACGUCUGUCGGUGUUUUAAAGUUCGUGCCGCGCCGCCCGUUCUCCCUCUCGUCUCCGGAUAUCUACACAACACGGCCACGUAGCUCGUCCUGCGUUCGGAAUUGUCCGAAUCCGACCCCGCGGUUGGAUCCGGAGCGCGAUUCCGGUUAACCGAGCCCCCCCAUUUGUCUAUAAAUACCCCCUCCGUGCCUAUUUUGGGCGCCCCCCCUAAUUCCUCCUAGUUUUCCGCGCCCUAACCCUAAUUC